RNAcentral lists this ribosomal RNA (478 nucleotides) under Escherichia coli. RNAcentral describes it as "partial 23S ribosomal RNA". It matches the Rfam family "Bacterial large subunit ribosomal RNA", at positions 1118 to 1598 of the family's 2925-position model. Lineage: Bacteria; Pseudomonadati; Pseudomonadota; Gammaproteobacteria; Enterobacterales; Enterobacteriaceae. The record is from RNAcentral.
ACCCUUUAAAGAAAGCGUAAUAGCUCACUAGUCGAGUCGGCCUGCGCGGAAGAUGUAACGGGGCUCAAACCAUACACCGAAGCUACGGGUAUCACUUAGGUGAUGCGGUAGAGGAGCGUUCUGUAAGCCUGUGAAGGUGAGUUGAGAAGCUUGCUGGAGGUAUCAGAAGUGCGAAUGCUGACAUGAGUAACGACAAUGGGUGUGAAAAACACCCACGCCGAAAGACCAAGGUUUCCUGCGCAACGUUAAUCGACGCAGGGUUAGUCGGUCCCUAAGGCGAGGCUGAAAAGCGUAGUCGAUGGAAAACAGGUUAAUAUUCCUGUACUUCUGGUUAUUGCGAUGGAGGGACGGAGAAGGCUAGGCCAGCUUGGCGUUGGUUGUCCAAGUUUAAGGUGGUAGGCUGGAAUCUUAGGUAAAUCCGGGAUUCUAAGGCCGAGAGCUGAUGACGAGUGUUCUUUUAGAACACGAAGUGGUUGAU